Peromyscus leucopus (white-footed mouse) is the source of this 238-nucleotide long non-coding RNA. RefSeq lists it as uncharacterized. Lineage: Eukaryota; Metazoa; Chordata; Mammalia; Rodentia; Cricetidae. The record is from RefSeq and is a predicted model, not a curated record. The transcript is spliced from 2 exons.
AAAGAAAAAGCCUGUAGGAAACCAUCAAGAGAGUGUAUGCCUGAGCACCUGCCGCCAUGCCAGCUGGACCUCGAUAGACCGUGAUGGACUGCAUCCUCAGACUGUGAGCCACAACAAGCCCUUCCUCACUCUGGUUACUUUUGUCAAGGCUUUUGUCACAGAGAAAAUGACUAAUAUUUAAGACAUGGUAUCGGGCUAUUUGUCAAUCAUUUAAUAAACACAGCACAACUGCCUGGCA